GAAUAUUGGACAAUGGGCGAAAGCCUGAUCCAGCCAUGCCGCGUGUGUGAAGAAGGUCUUCGGAUUGUAAAGCACCUUCAGUUGGGAGGAAGGGCAGCAAGCGAAUACCUUGCUGUUUCGACGUUACCGACCGAAGAAGCAUCGUCUAACCCUGUGCCAGCAGCCGCGGUAAUACAGGGGGUGCAAGCGUUAAUCGGAAUUACUGGGCGUAAAGCGCGCGUAGGUGGUUCGUUAAGUUGGAUGUGAAAUCCCCGGGCUCAACCUGGGAACUUCAUCCAAAACUGGCGAGCUAGAGUAGGGCAGAGGGUGGUGGAAUUUCCUGUGUAGCGGUGAAAUGCGUAGAUAUAGGAAGGAACACCAGUGGCGAAGGCGACCACCUGGGCACAUACUGACACUGAGGUGCGAAAGCGUGGGGAGCAAACAGG
This 425-nucleotide ribosomal RNA is filed under the name uncultured bacterium. RNAcentral describes it as "partial 16S ribosomal RNA". It matches the Rfam family "Bacterial small subunit ribosomal RNA", at positions 359 to 776 of the family's 1533-position model. The record is from RNAcentral.